RNAcentral lists this long non-coding RNA (1193 nucleotides) under Astyanax mexicanus (Mexican tetra). RNAcentral's name for it is "lncRNA (ENSAMXG00005013279.1)". Lineage: Eukaryota; Metazoa; Chordata; Actinopteri; Characiformes; Acestrorhamphidae. The record is from RNAcentral.
UAGUCCAGCAGAACCGCUGUCCUCCGGUCUGUCCACAUACACACACACACACACACAAAGAGAGAGAGAGAGAGAGAGAGAGAGAGAGAGCUCGGGCUGAGGAGCACUUUCUCCACUGUGCAUUUAUUUCUAUGUACGCAGGACACGAUGGGAUGUACAGCCAGCACUCACACCACAGCUCAGGACACAACUCGACCCAACUCAAAAACAGAGGAAUGUAACGGGGCGAGCACCACAGGAACAGCUGCUGAAAAGGCAGUACAUGAGAAAGAGACUACGCCUGCUCCGGAGGUGGCCAGUGCAAGUUCACAGCCCCAAGUAAGCUCUGAAAUUUCGGCAGCAACUGCAAGUCAGGCUGCAGCUGAGGCUCCUGCAGCUGAAGCACCUGCAGCUGAAGCACCUACAGCUGAAGCGUCUGCAGCUGAGGCUCCUGCAGCCGAGGCUCCUGCAGCCGAUGCUCCUGCAGCCGAUGCUCCUUCGGCUGAGGCUCCUGCAGCUGAAUCCGCAGCACCUGCAACUCAAGAUGAAGCUUCAGCAGAAAGCCCAGCAGAACCAGCCCCAACAGAGGAGACACCAGGUGAGUACACGUUCUGAAGAACUAACUAGAGGCAUCAUCUCUGAUCUUCUCCUAUGCUAACACAUUUCUUUCUCUCUCUAUCUGUCCUUCAGCACCCAGUGAGGGAAGCUAAGGCAGAAUUCUGCAGACAUCGCUGGGUUAUGAUGAUGGUAGAACUGAAAAACUGCUCAAACAUUUCACGACAAACGAGGAACCUUUCAGCAGAGAUGCUUAAAACCUGAGAUGACUUAGGAUUGCUAGCCUGUUGCCAAGAUGCAGACUGCAGAUCUUUCAGACUGGGGUCUUGCAGACAUCACAGUGCCUUUAUUUAUCUUUGUCAGCGGUGAUGGGAACUACUUUUGUAUAUACUUAAUAUUUUAAUGAAUGUAUUUAAAUGAAAUACCUUAGAUAGAUUAAUUUAGAGAAUUUAAAAUGUACAAUAUAAAUACAAGACUUUGGGUACAGAAACUUUACAGAGAUUUAAAUUAUGUAAUGUUCAUAUCCUUCAUAUUGCUUCUUUGUGUUUGUACAGGACAGUGUACAGAGCCAAAGACUAUGGGACAUCACUGCAAAUGUACCUAGGCUAUUAUGCUAUACUAUAAAACUAUUUAGACUAAUAAAUCUGUUACUGUGUUCA